This 153-nucleotide small nuclear RNA is filed under the name Propithecus coquereli (Coquerel's sifaka). Its description in RNAcentral is "U2 spliceosomal RNA (ENSPCOG00000005409.1)". It matches the Rfam family "U2 spliceosomal RNA". Rfam says of the family: U2 is a small nuclear RNA (snRNA) component of the spliceosome (involved in pre-mRNA splicing). Complementary binding between U2 snRNA (in an area lying towards the 5' end but 3' to hairpin I) and the branchpoint sequence (BPS) of the intron results the bulging out of an unpaired adenosine, on the BPS, which initiates a nucleophilic attack at the intronic 5' splice site, thus starting the first of two transesterification reactions that mediate splicing. Lineage: Eukaryota; Metazoa; Chordata; Mammalia; Primates; Indriidae. The record is from RNAcentral.
AUCGCUUCUCGGCCUUUUGGCUAAGAUCAAGUGUAGUAUCUGUUCUUAUCAGUUUAAUAUCUGAUACGUCCAAAAAUUCUUUUUUUUUUUUUUAAAAAGAAGGAUUCGGCUUCUACUGCUUCUUAGCGGUGAAAGCCCCCACACCCACCCCCA